This 276-nucleotide ribosomal RNA is filed under the name uncultured alga. RNAcentral's name for it is "partial 23S ribosomal RNA". It matches the Rfam family "Bacterial large subunit ribosomal RNA", at positions 2098 to 2373 of the family's 2925-position model. The record is from RNAcentral.
GCUUUACUAUAGCCUGGAAUUGGGUUCGGGCUUCCCUUGCGCAGAAUAGGUGGGAGACGAUGAAGAUCGCCUUGUGGGGUGAUCCGAGUCAUCGGUGAGAUACCACUCUAGGGAGGCUAGAAUUCUAACUUGCUCCCGUAAUCCGGGAGAAGAACAGUUUCAGGUGGGUAGUUUGACUGGGGUCGGUCGCCUCCAAAAAAGUAACGGAGGCGCACAAAGGUUCCCUCAGGCUGGAUGGAAAUCAGCCAGAGAGUGUAAAGGCACAAGGAGCUUGCU